UAAGAGUGUGUCUCCCAGUUCCUGUCCCCAAAGACGAGAGGAUUGUAAGAGGUGAACCUUCUGGGGAAACUUCCAGUGGGUCUGCUUUGAUCUUCCAACAAUUUGCAUCUAGUGACUCCUGAAAUCAGAGGUUGUGUCUUGUUUAGCAGCCCUCACAAUACCUCCUCCAUAUGUUUGUUCAGUUGAUUUGAUGCUCAUGAAGUGCCAGCUGAAUACGAGGAGGAAUUUCUUUACUGUGUGAGUGACUCAGUACUCACACAGUAGACUGUGAAGAGGUUGUCCAGGGAAGCUGUCAAGUCUCCCUCACUGGAGAUAUUCCAGAACCACCAGGAUACAUUCCUGUGCCAUGUGAUCUGGAAUGGCCCUGCUUAAGCAGGGAGGUUGGACCAGAUGCUCCACUGUGGUCCCUUCCAACUUUGUCCUUUCUGUGAUUUUUAUGAUUUCUGUGAUUUCUGUGACCUACUGCUUGUAAACUUGUAGCAUCCAUAUCAUCCUGUGGCAGGGAGUCCCACAGUGUCGCUGUGUGUAUGAACGGCCACUUUCCUUGUUUUCAACCUGACAUUCUGUGACACCAUGUGAUGACCUUACCCUGCUUCUUGCUUGGGAAAGGACAGUACAUCAAGUUUAUCUUCUCUAUGCCAGUCACCACUUCAGAGCCUCCAUGAAAUGCCCUUGCAGUCUGGGCUUUCAGUUCCGUGUGCUUGAAAUGUGACUCACAGAAUCGCCACUCCCCAGCCCUGCCCGAUUACACUGCUCUGGGAUGCGCUCACCAGCCAGAUCUGAUACCGGGCACACAGCAGGAAGACGAGAGAGAAGGGCACUUCCAAGAGACACUUCUGCUUCAGGACAGUGCUGCUAGAAGGCAUGUUCCCUCCUACACCUUGUGCAGGCUCUUCAUCCUUCUCCUGGCCUACCUGCAGUGGUUUGGUUGGAAGUUUAUUCUGUGUAGUGGCAGUAGAGAGCUUCGAGAGACCUGCCCUCAGCAAAUAUGCUGGCUGUGUUAUUCAUUGAGCUGUAGCUUGGAUCACCCUGGUAACACAGCUCUGCCAUCAUAAGGCAGCUGGGAGCACUUUGGUAAUUCUGUAAUCACAAAUGUCAGACUAGGUCAGUAGUCAACACUGAAAACUUAUUGCAUGCUAUUAUUAAAAUUAUACCUAAUACCAUGUUUUCAUGUGAUUCUGUCAAGUCCAUAUCAGUGGCUCAUGGGGCACAGUAAGGAAACCACAGGCCAAAAUACUUCAACUGUAGCUAACUUAAGGUACCAUUAAAGAGACUCUGUCUAAGUCUCCUCACCUUUUUGUGUGUGAAUCAAUUUUCGGUGGUAGAGCACGGACAGUGAUAUAUAUUAGAUACGCAAUGCAAGAGCCAAGUGUUCAUAGGUAUUACACACCCACUGACUUAAAGCACCAAUUUAAAAGGACUGGGAAAUAACCUGAAAACAAGCACAGUGCUAGACCCAUUUUAAAGUGAUUAUCUUAGGUAAUUUUCUUUAUGAAAAAUGGCACCAAGCUUGGGUUUCUCACAUAUGAGAAAAAAAGCAUUAUUGGUGAAGAACUGGUAGGCAGAUGUUUCUAAGGUCUCUAAAGCAGAAAGCACAAGCACAGUUUUCUGCAAAUCUGGGACAGAAUUUCAUACUUGCUUAUUACUCUUUAGAUAUUUUUUCACAAAAUAAUACUGAUUUAUAUAUAACCAGGGAUGUUAAUAUGGCUCUUCAUAAAUUUUUUUUGCACUUGGGGGAAAAGAUAAUAGGGGAGUGUUUGAGAAAAUACCUGUUCUGAGCCUGUUAGUUAAGAUAGUAGGUAAACAGCACUGUAAUUAAAGGACUCAAACACUUUUGAAGUUGGUGAGGAAAUAUGUGACAAAUAUCAUCAAGAAUGUAGUUCAAAGGCUAAAGUUCAUAACUCUAAGACACACAGGGGAAGCCUAAUUCUGAUCCUAUGCUAGUUGGGUACCUGGCUUCAGCUGAAUCAAACUUUCUCUGCUGUCACAUGUCCACACUGGGCAACUUUUCUUGCUUUAUCUGGGAUGCUGAGAAAACGUGACCCAUGGGUUCAGGGCAAAGAAGUCUGAAACAGGUGAUAAAAAGGGCCAUGAAAGAUGAGAAGGUCAAAAAGGUGACCAGGAAGAAGUUUACGAGGAAAAAAAAAAAACAAGCUCUGUAGUGCCAUCAGAGCUUUUGCUUUUGUUCUUGUCUCCUUGAUACCUUCUUCCCCUUUCCUUUUCCCUUUGAGCUUCACAAAAACUGUUCCAGUUUGACCAGUUAAAUGAUGCUGAAUAUGGUUUGUCAGUGUUUGUGUUUGUAAUUAAAUCACACUGAAUUCUUAGCUACACUUAUAGUUUAUGUUGUUGGCUGGUUGCGUUUUUAAAAUUUAUUUGUGUUCACAAAUACAGGUUAAAAAAAAGGAGUAGCAUAAGUAGUUAUGCAGAAUCAAGGUCUGCUGUUGUUGGAAUUCUGGAUUGUCUGGAAGAUUUCUCCAAGACAGCUGGCUGGGAAGAUUGAGACACAGGCGAACGCUUGUGGUGGGAUCCCAAGGGCUCCACUUACAUUUUCCAUGUAAGGGCAGCAGUGUCUGCACAAGACCUCUGGACUUUUGUAACAGUGGUCAUCCUGCUUAGUGCCUUUGCCAGGAUUACAGACUGAUCAGAUGUCUGUGCCUGCAUCUUCCAGCUCUGCUGGAAGAGGCCUUGCUGAAGGAAUCGUUUCCCAGUAAGAAUCAGUAAGAUGAGCGGAUUAUCCACUGUAAAUUAAACCAUCCUUUUUGUCAAAAGUCAGUUUGUCUGUGUGUUUUGAUGAAAACAUUGCUGUAGCCAGUGUAAGCAAGAAUGCAUUGCUGCUGUUUCUGAGGCAAUUAUACUGAAAUUAAAGAAAACAUCAAUUUUCAGGGCCUUUACAACACUAAAGUGAUUAGAAAAAAAUUAAACUAAUUGAAUUUUAGUGUGCUGCUCUUGGACAGGUUUUUUCACUUACCACUGCUGAUACAUGUCCUUUCCCCUUGAGAAUACAGACUAUUGGCUUUCUGAGUAUCUAAGAAACAGUCUAAAGCAUAAUUCACCAAGCCUCAGUCUCCAGAAUGCAAUGGUAGUUCCCCAAGAAUAAAACCACCACCAACUGUACAAAUAAAUUUGUACUUAAUGGCUAUGCAAUAAGGAGUCUAAAAUAAAAAAGAUAGUAUGAAAAGAAAUUAAGGACUUGAGAGAAAAAAAUCCCAGCAACAUUGUUAUUUAUGUAAGAUGAAACAAGUAUAGUGGCUAGUUUUAACACAAGAUAACUUUAAUGUGUUAGUGGAUUCGUGAGAACAACUGACUGCAUUAAUGCUUUUAAUGCUAUGUAGAGUAUUGGGAUGACUUAGCAUUAUGUGUGUUUGAAAGACACACCCCGAGGAACCUGUAACUUUGAAGUUGGACUUGCUCUGAGAGGAGAUAUGAACCAUGUAAUUUCCAUAGGUCCCUUCCAGCCUUAAUGGUUUUAUGACUGUAAAGCAUUAUUGAAACUAAGCUGCUCUUAUUAAAAUAUUUGCCUUGUUAGUGGCUGACAGCAUUGUGUAAUGAUAAGAGCAAUGGAGACAUGAUGUUAAGCUAUAAAAAGUCAUAAUCAGUAAAGUAUGAAGGCAUAAACAAACUGCACUUUAUAAAUGUGUGUGUGCAAUUUAUGCAAUGCAGAGAAACAGUUUAAGUGUGAGAUGUUUUGUAAGAUCCUUAAAUGUAUAUUACUUGUCUUGCUCCUAUUAAUGCAAAGAUACUGCAUAUAUGGCAGUAAAUAAACCUGAGCAGUUUUUUUACUUUGUAUAACUUUAUUGCUUUUAUAUUGCUGUUUACUGUGCAAGCUUAUAGUAUUUCCUAUUGUAACUUAAACCAUGUUCAAAUGAGCUAUUUGAAAAGUUUAAUUAAUAAGUAAACUGGCUGUUCUUACCUGUGUACAAAAACACCCAGAACAGAGGAGUUUAUCUCUAAAGAUUUAGACUUUUAUUUAUGUUUUUUCCAGACAACAUGACCAGUAAUUGCUGUUAAAUGUGGUUUCUAAAUAGUCUUCAACAAAGAUACCAUUAUUAAAGUAAUGUAUUUAGUAGAAAA
This is a non-coding RNA of Taeniopygia guttata (zebra finch), 4071 nucleotides long. The record is from RefSeq and is a predicted model, not a curated record. NCBI's taxonomy places the organism in Eukaryota, Metazoa, Chordata, Aves, Passeriformes, Estrildidae.